RNAcentral lists this ribosomal RNA (481 nucleotides) under uncultured bacterium. Its description in RNAcentral is "bacterial SSU rRNA". It matches the Rfam family "Bacterial small subunit ribosomal RNA", at positions 29 to 527 of the family's 1533-position model. The record is from RNAcentral.
AUUGAACGCUGGCGGCGUGCCUAACACAUGCAAGUCGAGCGGUAGCAGGCGUAGCAAUACGUGCUGACGAGCGGCGAACGGGUGAGCAAUGCUUCGGAAUCUGCCCAAUGGUGGGGAAUAACCAGCCGAAAGGUUGGCUAAUACCGCAUACGCCCUACGGGGAAAGCAGGGGAUCGCAAGACCUUGCGCCGAUGGAUGAGCCGAAGUCGGAUUAGCUAGUUGGUAGGGUAACGGCCGUACCAAGGCGACGAUCCGUAGCUGGUCUGAGAGGAUGAUCAGCCACACUGGGACUGAGACACGGCCCAGACUCCUACGGGAGGCAGCAGUGGGGAAUAUCGGACAAUGGGCGAAAGCCUGAUCCAGCAAUGCCGCGUGUGUGAAGAAGGCCUGCGGGUUGUAAAGCACUUUCAGUAGGGAAGAUUAUGACGGUACCUACAGAAGAAGCACCGGCUAACUCCGUGCCAGCAGCCGCGGUAAUGUG